Molecule: ribosomal RNA, 914 nt
Filed under: uncultured archaeon
Lineage: Archaea
Description: bacterial SSU rRNA
Rfam family: Archaeal small subunit ribosomal RNA
Source: RNAcentral
UUCCGGUUGAUCCUGCCGGACCUGACUGCUAUCGGAUUGGUACUAAGCCAUGUGAGUCGUUGUAGCAAUACAAGGCAUACGGCUCAGUAACACGUAGUCAAUCUAACCUAUGGACGGGGAUAACCUCGGGAAACUGAGGAUAAACCCCGAUAGAUCAUUAUGCCUGGAACGGUUUAUGGUCCAAAUGAUUCGUCGCCGUAGGAUGGGACUGCGGCCUAUCAGCUUGUUGGUGAGGUAAUGGCCCACCAAGGCUAUUACAGGUACGGGCUCUGAGAGGAGAAGCCCGGAGAUGGGUACUGAGACACGGACCCAGGCCCUAUGGGGCGCAGCAGGCGAGAAACCUUUGCAAUGUGCGCAAGCACGACAAGGUUAAUCCGAGUGUUUCCUGCUUAAGGAAUCUUUUGUUAGUUGUAAAACCACUGAUGAAUAAGGGGUGGGCAAGUUCUGGUGUCAGCCGCCGCGGUAAAACCAGCACCUCAAGUGGUCAGGAUGAUUAUUGGGCCUAAAGCAUCCGUAGCCUGUUCUAUAAGUUUCCGGUUAAAUCCAUUAGCUCAACUAAUGGGCUGCCGAAAAUACUGUAGAACUAGGAAGUGGGAGAGGUAGACGGUACUCGGUAGGAAGGGGUAAAAUCCUUUGAUCUAUUGAUGACCACCUGUGGCGAAGGCGGUCUACCAGAACACGUUCGACGGUGAGGGAUGAAAGCUGGGGGAGCAAACCGGAUUAGAUACCCGGGUAGUCCAGCUGUAAACGAUGCAGACUCGGUGAUGCCCUGGCUUGUGGCCAGUGCAGUGCCGCAGGGAAGCCGUUAAGUUUGCCGCCUGGGAAGUACGUACGCAAGUAUGAAACUUAAAGGAAUUGGCGGGGGAGCACCACAAGGGGUGAAGCCUGCGGUUCAAUUGGAUUCAACGCCGGGA